RNAcentral lists this ribosomal RNA (468 nucleotides) under uncultured bacterium. RNAcentral describes it as "partial 16S ribosomal RNA". It matches the Rfam family "Bacterial small subunit ribosomal RNA", at positions 28 to 507 of the family's 1533-position model. The record is from RNAcentral.
GACGAACGCUGGCGGCGUGCUUAACACAUGCAAGUCGAACGGAAAGGCCCUGCUUGUGUGGGGUGCUCGAGUGGCGAACGGGUGCGUAACACGUGAGUAACCUGCCCUUGACUUUGGUAUAACUUCAGGAAACUGGGGCUAAUACCGGAUAGCAGCUCCUGCUGCAUGGUGGGGGUUGGAACGUUUCGGCGGUUGGGGAUGGACUCGCGGCUUAUCAGCUUGUUGGUGGGGUAGUGGCUUACCAAGGCUUUGACGGGUAGCCGGCCUGAGAGGGUGACCGGCGACAUGGGGCCUGCGAGAGGGACCAGACUCCUACGGGAGGCAGCAGUGGGGAAUAUGGCACAAUGGGCGGAAGCCUGAUGCAGCGACGCCGCGUGCGGGAUGCCGGCCUUCGGGUUGUAAACCGCUUUCGCCUGUGACGAAGCGUGAGUGACGGUAAUGGGUAAAGAAGCACCGGCUAACUACGUG